UACUACUCUUGACACUACUAGUAUUUUGUUUUACUUUAGCGCUAUUACCCAUGCCGCAGUACUGGUACUUUAAAAAAAUAUAUCAUUUUCCAGAGUGGCAUUAAACACGCUGUAUUCAAUUAUAUUUUCCCUUGUGUGUAUAUAUAUAUAUAGCUAUCAAAAUCGUUGGAUAUCAUUUAGAUAUCAUCGUUUGAGCUUUUUUGUCUAACGACCGUUGAAUAUCCUACAAGUGACGUCAAAAAAUUUAACCGCGAUGAAAUCAACAUUGUUGUCGUGUUCGAUCGCCGUAACGCUUCUCACGGUCUGUUGUUUGUCCAACGCGUUUGAUUGGGAAAAAUAUUCCAACGGUGAACUCAUAAAGUCUGAGCUGAUAUUCAGCGAUCCCAUUAACGUCGUAUUCGGCACGAUAAAUGACGGCUUUAUCGAAACGAGGCAGUAUAUGAUGGCCGCGAAAAUCAGGGCGUACAAACUGCUGUACAUGUUUGUAGGCUAUUGCAAAUUCAGGCUUCCAUUUGAUUCGUCGAAUGAAAUGAGGAUCCUAAUUAGCGCAUCAACGAGUUACGUCAUCAAAUUCAUGAAACAUCAUAAUACGGACAUUUCCGAUCUGGAGACACUCUUGGACGACACUAUUUUGAAUUCUGAGAACGCGGACUAUACUCUGCUCAAUUCGUUGCAGAAAUUCGAAAAUGGCGUUUACGAGUUGUUGUUUAACGACGUGACAAUAUUCAAUAUGACGGUGUUGGGGGUGACCCCGGCUAGACAUUUCGAAAAAUCGCUCGAGUUAGCGAUAAGAUGGUGGACGUUUUUCAACAACUCAGAGGACGAAGAAAUUUUGAAAACUUACAUCCCCGCGAGAUACUCAUACGAAAGGGACACUUCUGAAGCGGUGAAUUAUUUUUACAAUAAAAUCAUAAAAGAGCACUUGAUCGAGCAGAAAAAAAAGGAAGAAGAAGAAGGUAACGAAAUAAAUGCCUUGGAAUAUGAUAUCGUUAAUGCGUAUCGCCGAGAAAAAAAAAGACAGAAACGCGAAAAAAAAAAUUAACCUUAUAAUUAAAUAAAAAAAUUUCACUCUUAAAUUGUUUAAUUAAAAUUAUAAUUCAUUGUAUAUUUAAUACUUAUAGCGUGGGAAGUAAAAUUGUAUUCAUAAGAUAUAACACGUUGUAACUUAUGUACAUUGAUUAAAGUAAUAAUAAAUCACACGAAUCUAUAGAGUAA
Daktulosphaira vitifoliae (grape phylloxera) is the source of this 1215-nucleotide long non-coding RNA. RefSeq lists it as uncharacterized. The record is from RefSeq and is a predicted model, not a curated record. Lineage: Eukaryota; Metazoa; Arthropoda; Insecta; Hemiptera; Phylloxeridae. The transcript is spliced from 2 exons.